Transfer RNA from Cellulomonas flavigena DSM 20109, 72 nucleotides. It matches the Rfam family "tRNA". From Rfam's summary of the family: Transfer RNA (tRNA) molecules are approximately 80 nucleotides in length. Their secondary structure includes four short double-helical elements and three loops (D, anti-codon, and T loops). NCBI's taxonomy places the organism in Bacteria, Bacillati, Actinomycetota, Actinomycetes, Micrococcales, Cellulomonadaceae. The record is from Rfam.
GCGGACGUGGCUCAGUGGUAGAGCAUCACCUUGCCAAGGUGAGGGUCGCGGGUUCGAAUCCCGUCGUCCGCU